GACGAACGCUGGCGGCGUGCUUAACACAUGCAAGUCGAACGGAAAGGCCCUGCUUGCAGGGUACUCGAGUGGCGAACGGGUGAGUAACACGUGGGUGAUCUGCCCUGCACUUCGGGAUAAGCCUGGGAAACUGGGUCUAAUACCGGAUAGGAGCCAUUUUUAGUGUGAUGGUUGGAAAGUUUUUUCGGUGUAGGAUGAGCUCGCGGCCUAUCAGCUUGUUGGUGGGGUAAUGGCCUACCAAGGCGGCGACGGGUAGCCGGCCUGAGAGGGUGGACGGCCACAUUGGGACUUAGAUACGGCCCAGACUCCUACGGGAGGCAGCAGUGGGGAAUAUUGCACAAUGGGCGCAAGCCUGAUGCAGCGACUCCUCGUAGGGGAAUACGGCCUUCGGGUUGUAAACUCCUUUCGCUAGGAACUAAGCUUUUUGUGACGGUACCUAGAUAAGAAGCACCGGCUAACUACGUG
This 465-nucleotide ribosomal RNA is filed under the name uncultured bacterium. Its description in RNAcentral is "partial 16S ribosomal RNA". It matches the Rfam family "Bacterial small subunit ribosomal RNA", at positions 28 to 507 of the family's 1533-position model. The record is from RNAcentral.